Molecule: ribosomal RNA, 256 nt
Filed under: uncultured Rhizophagus
Lineage: Eukaryota; Fungi; Glomeromycota; Glomeromycetes; Glomerales; Glomeraceae
Description: partial large subunit ribosomal RNA
Rfam family: Eukaryotic large subunit ribosomal RNA
Source: RNAcentral
GAAAGAUGAAAAGAACUUUGAAAAGAGAGUUAAACAGUACGUGAAAUUGUUGAAAGGGAAACGAUUGAAGCCAGUCGUACCUUCGGGUAAUCAGCCUUUCGGGUGUGAUUCUGUGGAGUUUGAGGAGCUUAACACCUUCAUGCUUUGCAUAUUCGUGCUCUUGGGUGUACUUGCCCGUAUGGUUGGUUAACAUCAAUUUUGGUGGUCAUAAAAUGACUGGAGGAAUGUAGCUUCGAUCUUGUAUUGAAGUGUUAUA